AACGAACGCUGGCGGCAUGCCUAACACAUGCAAGUCGAACGAGAUCUUCGGGUCUAGUGGCGCACGGGUGCGUAACGCGUGGGAAUCUGCCCUUAGGUUCGGAAUAACAGUUGGAAACGACUGCUGAUACCGGAUGAUGACGAAAGUCCAAAGAUUUAUCGGCAGAGGAUGAGCCCGCGUAGGAUUAGUUAGUUGGUGGGGUAAAGGCGCACCAAGGCGACGAUCCUUAGCUGGUCUGAGAGGAUGAUCAGCCACACUGGGACUGAGACACGGCCCAGACUCCUACGGGAGGCAGCAGUGGGGAAUAUUGGACAAUGGGCGAAAGCCUGAUCCAGCAAUGCCGCGUGAGUGAUGAAGGCCUUAGGGUUGUAAAGCUCUUUUACCCGGGAUGAUAAUGACAGUACCGGGAGAAUAAGCUCCGGCUAACUCCGUGCCAGCCGCCGCCGUAA
This 449-nucleotide ribosomal RNA is filed under the name uncultured bacterium. RNAcentral's name for it is "partial 16S ribosomal RNA". It matches the Rfam family "Bacterial small subunit ribosomal RNA", at positions 29 to 523 of the family's 1533-position model. The record is from RNAcentral.